This is a long non-coding RNA of Ailuropoda melanoleuca (giant panda), 271 nucleotides long. RefSeq lists it as uncharacterized. The record is from RefSeq and is a predicted model, not a curated record. Lineage: Eukaryota; Metazoa; Chordata; Mammalia; Carnivora; Ursidae. The transcript has 3 exons.
UUAUCGAAGUACGGUUUCAUCAGAUGUAACCGCUGGAGGAAACUGGGAGAAGUCUCAAGACAAUACCAUAUAUUCGCAUAGAUCUAUCUGCUUCCUCUGAGUCCAGACUUUAUGCGAGUUAAUUAAGAAUGUCUGUCUUCAAGAAGACCAACAGAAAAGAGUGACCACAAUGGACUUAAGUCUGAAUCCCUGAGAACACACAGCACAGAGAAAAAUGAAAAGCAUCAUGCCACACUCCAUACAUUGGACGCCAACCAGCAAGAGACGGGGA